CCUACGGGAGGCAGCAGUGAGGAAUAUUGGUCAAUGGACGAGAGUCUGAACCAGCCAAGUAGCGUGAAGGAUGACUGCCCUAUGGGUUGUAAACUUCUUUUAUAAAGGAAUAAAACGAGGCACGUGUGCCUUUUUGCAUGUACUUUAUGAAUAAGGAUCGGCUAACUCCGUGCCAGCAGCCGCGGUAAUACGGAGGAUCCGAGCGUUAUCCGGAUUUAUUGGGUUUAAAGGGAGCGUAGAUGGGUUGUUAAGUCAGUUGUGAAAGUUUGCGGCUCAACCGUAAAAUUGCAAUUGAUACUGGAAGUCUGGAGUACAGGUGAGGUAGGCGGAAUUCGUGGUGUAGCGGUGAAAUGCUUAGAUAUCACGAAGAACCCCGAUUGCGAAGGCAGCUUACUAAACUGUGACUGACAUUGAUGCUCGAAAGUGUGGGUAGCAAACAGGAUUAGAUACCCGAGUAGUC
Molecule: ribosomal RNA, 460 nt
Filed under: uncultured bacterium
Lineage: Bacteria
Description: partial 16S ribosomal RNA
Rfam family: Bacterial small subunit ribosomal RNA
Source: RNAcentral